GACGAACGCUGGCGGCGUGCCUAACACAUGCAAGUCGAACGGAAAGGCCCUGCUCUUGUGGGGUGCUCGAGUGGCGAACGGGUGAGUAACACGUGUGUAACCUGCCCUUGACUUUGGGAUAACUUCACGAAACUGGGGAUAUUACCGGAUAGGAGCUCUUGCUGCACGGUGGGGGUUGGAAAGAUUCGGCGGUUGUGGAUGGACUCGAUGCUUAUCAGCUUGUUUGUGGGGUAGUGGCUUACAAAGGCUUCGACGGGUAGCCGGCCUGGGAGGGUGAACGGCCACAAUGGGACUAAGGUACGGCGCAGAAUCCAACGGGAGGCAGCAGUGGGGAGUAUUGCACAGUGGGGGGGAGCCUGAUGCAGCAGCGCCGCGUGCGGGAUGACGGCCUUCGAGUUGUAAACCGCUUUCGCCUGUGACGAAGCGUGAGUGACGGUAAUGGGUAAAGAAGCACCGGCUAACUACGUG
This 468-nucleotide ribosomal RNA is filed under the name uncultured bacterium. Its description in RNAcentral is "partial 16S ribosomal RNA". It matches the Rfam family "Bacterial small subunit ribosomal RNA", at positions 28 to 507 of the family's 1533-position model. The record is from RNAcentral.